RNAcentral lists this ribosomal RNA (1653 nucleotides) under human gut metagenome. RNAcentral's name for it is "bacterial LSU rRNA". It matches the Rfam family "Bacterial large subunit ribosomal RNA", at positions 813 to 2518 of the family's 2925-position model. The record is from RNAcentral.
GGAUAGCGGAGAAAUUCCAAUCGAACUCGGAGAUAGCUGGUUCUCCUCGAAAUAGUUUUAGGACUAGCCUUGUUUAGUAGUACGUGGGGGUAGAGCACUGAAUGAGCUAGGGGCCAAACCAGGUUACCGAACUCUAUCAAACUCCGAAUACCAUGUAUGUAAGAACAGGAGUCAGACUGUGGGAGCUAAGUUCCAUGGUCAAAAGGGAAAGAGCCCAGAUCGUCAAUUAAGGUCCCAAAGAUAUAGUUAAGUGGAAAACGAUGUGAUUUUGCGUAAACAACCAGGAUGUUGGCUUAGAAGCAGCCAUGCAUUUAAAGAGUGCGUAAUAGCUCACUGGUCGAGUGAAGUUGCGCGGAAAAUUACCGGGGCUAAACUAUACACCGAAAUUGCGGAUUUAUACGAUAGUAUAAGUGGUAGAGGAGCAUUCUAUAGUAGGACGAAGCAUGACUGAAAAGACAUGUGGACGAGAUAGAAGAGAGAAUGCCGGAAUAAGUAGCGAAAGCAUGGUGAGAAUCCAUGCCAUCGAAAGUCUAAGGUUUCCUGGGGAAGGUUCGUCCGCCCAGGGUAAGUCGGGACCUAAGGUGAGGCCGAAAGGCGUAGCCGAUGGACAGCAGGUAGAAAUUCCUGCACCACCGAUAUACUUAAAAAGCACAAGGGACACAGGAGUGGAAGAGAAGCGAGGAAGAGGAAAGACUCGUAUCGAAAGAUAUAGUGAAAAUAAAGUAACGAAUUCUCAAGAAGCACACUGGCGAGAAAAGCUUGUGAGUCUUGUAUAUAGGUGCCCGUACCGCAAACCGACACAGGUAGAUGAGGAGAGGAUCCUAAGAUGAGCGAGAGAAGCAUUGUUAAGGAACUCGGCAAACUGACCCCGUAACUUAGGGAGAAGGGGUACCAUAUGAAAGUAUGGUCGCAGAGAAGAGGCCCAAGCAACUGUUUAACAAAAACACAGGUUUCUGCUAAAUCGAAAGAUGAAGUAUAGGGGCUGACACCUGCCCGGUGCUGGAAGGUUAAGGGGAAAUGUAAGUACUUGAUGCGAAGCAUAGAACCAAAGCCCCAGUGAACGGCGGCCGUAACUAUAACGGUCCUAAGGUAGCGAAAUUCCUUGUCAGGUAAGUUCUGACCCGCACGAAAGGUGUAAUGAUUUGGGCGCUGUCUCGACAAUGUACUCGGCGAAAUUGUAGUACUAGUGAAGAUGCUAGUUACCUGCGACAAGACAGAAAGACCCCAUGGAGCUUUACUGUAGCUUGAUACUGGGUUUUGAUAAUUUAUGUACAGGAUAGGUGGGAUACUAAGAAGCAUUUGCGCCAGCAGAUGUGGAGUAGACGUUGGGAUACCACCCUUAAGUUAUUGAAAUUCUAACCAUUCGUCGUAAACCGGCGAGGGGACAAUGUCAGGCGGGCAGUUUGACUGGGGCGGUCGCCUCCAAAAGAGUAACGGAGGCGCGCAAAGGUUUCCUCAGCACGGACAGAAAUCGUGCGAAAGAGUGCAAAGGCAGAAGGAAGCUUAACUGAGAGACUGACAAGUCGACCAGAUACGAAAGUAGGUCUUAGUGAUCCGGCGGUAGUGAGUGGAAAUGCCGUCGCUCAACGGAUAAAAGUUACCCUGGGGAUAACAGGCUUAUCUCCCCCAAGAGUUCACAUCGACGGGGAGGUU